This 427-nucleotide ribosomal RNA is filed under the name uncultured Coxiella sp. RNAcentral describes it as "bacterial SSU rRNA". It matches the Rfam family "Bacterial small subunit ribosomal RNA", at positions 353 to 772 of the family's 1533-position model. Lineage: Bacteria; Pseudomonadati; Pseudomonadota; Gammaproteobacteria; Legionellales; Coxiellaceae. The record is from RNAcentral.
AGUGGGGAAUAUUGGACAAUGGGCGCAAGCCUGAUCCAGCAAUGCCGCGUGUGUGAAGAAGGCCUUCGGGUUGUAAAGCACUUUCAGUGGGGAAGAAAGGCUCAAGAUUAAUACUCUUGAGAGUUGACGUUACCCACAGAAGAAGCACUGGCUAACUCUGUGCCAGCAGCCGCGGUAAUACAGAGAGUGCAAGCGUUAAUCGGAAUUACUGGGCGUAAAGCGCACGUAGGUGGGUAUUUAAGUCGGAUGUGAAAGCCCUAGGCUUAACCUGGGAAUUGCAUUCGAUACUGGGUACCUAGAGUAUGGUAGAGGGAAGUGGAAUUUCCGGUGUAGCGGUGAAAUGCGUAGAUAUCGGAAGGAACACCAGUGGCGAAGGCGGCUUCCUGGACCAAUACUGACACUGAGGUGCGAAAGCGUGGGGAGCAAA